UCCCUGGUGGCUCAGCGGGUAUAAGAAUCUGCCUGCAAUGCAGGAGACACGGGUUCAAUCCCUGAGUAGGGAA
Molecule: transfer RNA, 73 nt
Filed under: Capra hircus (goat)
Lineage: Eukaryota; Metazoa; Chordata; Mammalia; Artiodactyla; Bovidae
Also listed under: 1 other name
Rfam family: tRNA
About the family: Transfer RNA (tRNA) molecules are approximately 80 nucleotides in length. Their secondary structure includes four short double-helical elements and three loops (D, anti-codon, and T loops). Further hydrogen bonds mediate the characteristic L-shaped molecular structure. tRNAs have two regions of fundamental functional importance: the anti-codon, which is responsible for specific mRNA codon recognition, and the 3' end, to which the tRNAs corresponding amino acid is attached (by aminoacyl-tRNA synthetases). tRNAs cope with the degeneracy of the genetic code in two manners: having more than one tRNA (with a specific anti-codon) for a particular amino acid; and 'wobble' base-pairing, i.e. permitting non-standard base-pairing at the 3rd anti-codon position.
Source: Rfam by way of RNAcentral